Molecule: non-coding RNA, 148 nt
Filed under: Pan paniscus (pygmy chimpanzee)
Lineage: Eukaryota; Metazoa; Chordata; Mammalia; Primates; Hominidae
Also listed under: 1 other name
Source: Rfam by way of RNAcentral
GCCAGGUGUGGCGGCGCACACCUGUAAUCCCAGCUACUCGGGAGGCUGAGGCAGGAGAAUUGCUUGAACCAGGGAGGCAGAGGUUGCAGUGAGCCCAGAUUGUGCCACUGCACUCCAGCCUGGGCAACAGAGCGAGACUUUGUCUCAA